This 472-nucleotide ribosomal RNA is filed under the name uncultured organism. RNAcentral's name for it is "partial 16S ribosomal RNA". It matches the Rfam family "Bacterial small subunit ribosomal RNA", at positions 335 to 799 of the family's 1533-position model. The record is from RNAcentral.
ACUCCUGCGGGAGGCAGCAGUGGGGAAUUUUGGACAAUGGGCGAAAGCCUGAUCCAGCCAUGCCGCGUGCAGGAUGAAGGCCUUCGGGUUGUAAACUGCUUUUGUACGGAACGAAACGGCCUUUUCUAAUAAAGAGGGCUAAUGACGGUACCGUAAGAAUAAGCACCGGCUAACUACGUGCCAGCAGCCGCGGUAAUACGUAGGGUGCAAGCGUUAAUCGGAAUUACUGGGCGUAAAGCGUGCGCAGGCGGUUAUGUAAGACAGUUGUGAAAUCCCCGGGCUCAACCUGGGAACUGCAUCUGUGACUGCAUAGCUAGAGUACGGUAGAGGGGGAUGGAAUUCCGCGUGUAGCAGUGAAAUGCGUAGAUAUGCGGAGGAACACCGAUGGCGAAGGCAAUCCCCUGGACCUGUACUGACGCUCAUGCACGAAAGCGUGGGGAGCAAACAGGAUUAGAUCCCCAGUAGUCCCAUG